CCAAAGUAUGCACUUAACUGUUUGUGAGCCCACCCAAAGAGAGAGUUCCUGUCUUCAACAGUGCCCAAUCUCAAGAUAGACCUUAAUUGACCAGGUUGGUGUUAGAUGCCUGUCCCUGAAAACAUUAGUUAAGAAAAUAAUACGCUCUCAUUGGUGAACCUGGAAUAAUCCUUCAUCCCUUUGGCAGGUGAGGCCAGACAUCAAGACUGGCUGGGAAUUUUAAGAGGGGUGGUUCUACAGGAAGAAGGGCACUCCUACCAGAAGAGGAGGAAGAGAUUCUGAGCAAACCCAGGAAGCAAUUGAAAGAUUCUUCAGCAUCAGGGAUCUUGGAAGAAGAGACAAGGAAAACCAUCUCUUAAAAAUUCCUCUCUAAAGCGGCAUACAGAGGGAAUCCAUUUUGACAGGUGAGUGGUCACAGUCAAAGUCUUUAAUAAGUAGUCAUGUAAAUUAUCUUGUGAGAUA
RNAcentral lists this long non-coding RNA (462 nucleotides) under Callithrix jacchus (white-tufted-ear marmoset). RNAcentral describes it as "lncRNA (ENSCJAG00000086868.1)". The record is from RNAcentral. Lineage: Eukaryota; Metazoa; Chordata; Mammalia; Primates; Cebidae.